This is a small nucleolar RNA of Perognathus longimembris pacificus (Pacific pocket mouse), 133 nucleotides long. RefSeq annotates it as small nucleolar RNA SNORA42/SNORA80 family. The transcript has a single exon. Lineage: Eukaryota; Metazoa; Chordata; Mammalia; Rodentia; Heteromyidae. The record is from RefSeq and is a predicted model, not a curated record.
ACAUGGGUUGGAUUCAUGGCAGGUCUGUCACCCUGGGCCUCUUAUAAUGUCCCAUACAAGAGCAAACUCUAGUCCCGAACCAUUGCUUGGCCUCUGCCUCUGGACUACUGGCACUGAAGGGGGUUUCACAGAG